RNAcentral lists this ribosomal RNA (253 nucleotides) under uncultured bacterium. RNAcentral describes it as "partial 16S ribosomal RNA". It matches the Rfam family "Bacterial small subunit ribosomal RNA", at positions 524 to 776 of the family's 1533-position model. The record is from RNAcentral.
UACAGAGGGUGCAAGCGUUAAUCGGAAUUACUGGGCGUAAAGGGCGCGUAGGUGGUUUGAUAAGUUUGAUGUGAAAUCCCUGGGCUUAACCUAGGACGUGCAUUGAAGACUGUGAGACCAGAGUACUGUAGAGGGUAGGGGAAUUUCCGGUGUAGCGGUGAAAUGCGUAGAGAUCGGAAGGAACACCAGUGGCGAAGGCGCCUACCUGGACAGAUACUGACACUGAGGCGCGAGAGCGUGGGUAGCAAACAGG